Molecule: ribosomal RNA, 1617 nt
Filed under: Triticum aestivum (bread wheat)
Lineage: Eukaryota; Viridiplantae; Streptophyta; Magnoliopsida; Poales; Poaceae
Description: partial small subunit ribosomal RNA
Source: RNAcentral
AUGGCCUCCACGGAAGGCGGCGGCGGCGGCGGAGGAGGAGGAGGAGCGGAGAGGGCGGAGGAUCCUCUCCUUGGCUCCGGCGAGGAAGUGCAAGGAGCGGCCCAGGAAGAGAGCAGGAGAAGCUCAGGCGAACUUGCCGAUGCGGAUUGCGGCAGCAGUGGUUCGGUAACUGAUGCCGCUGUACCGAGUGAAGAUACCAGUGAGGGGCAUAGCAGUGACAGCAGCAGCAGCCAGUGUGCCGGUUCUGAUGGAGGUGGCAAAGAGGUGCCUGAAAUGUUCUCCAAGAGCUGCAAUGAUGAGAACAGCUUGUGCACCGACCAGAGCUCUCCCCGCGCCGUGCUGGACAUAUCGGUGUCCGGCAGCGUCGACUCUGACGAGAGCUCCUCCGUCGAGCAGCCGGCGGAGCCCAGCCGCAGCGUGCAGCCGCUGCAGUGGAGGAAUUUGAUCAGUGGGCUGAUACUCAGCAGGAAGAAGCUGAUGGCCAGGGCGGUGACGUUCCCUCAGCGGUCCAAGAGCACGGGGCUUAAAAGGUACCUGGGGAGGAUGCGGAGGGGCAAGAACCAGAUGGACUGCAGCGCAAUCGCCCCGGAGAUCUUCCCUGAGAUCGAGAAGUGGAGGCCAUCAUGGAGGAGCUUCGACUACGACGAGCUCUGCGCUGCAACUGACAGAUUCAGUUCAGAUAAUUUGAUCGGAAAGGGAGGGCACGCUGAGGUGUACAAAGGACAGCUUGCUGAUGGACAGUUUGUGGCGGUGAAAAGGUUAACAAAAGGCGGCAACAAGGAGGACAGGAUCAGCGAUUUCCUAUCCGAGCUUGGAAUAAUAGCGCACGUCAACCACCCAAACGCGGCACAGCUCUUGGGGUUCAGUGUGGAAGGGGGCUUGCACCUGGUUCUUCAGUUCUCACCACAUGGAAGCUUGGCUUCUCUUCUCCAUGGUGCAAAGGGAGCCCUCAAGUGGAAGGCCCGGUUCAAUAUCGCACUUGGAAUCGCUGAAGGGCUAUUUUAUCUACACGAAGGCUGCCAUCGGCACAUAAUUCACAGAGACAUCAAACCUUCAAAUAUUCUUUUAACUGAAGAUUAUCAACCUCAGAUUUCAGAUUUUGGCCUUGCGAAGUGGCUUCCUGACAAAUGCACCCAUCAGGUUGUAUUCCCCAUUGAAGGCACAUUCGGUUAUAUGGCCCCAGAGUACUUCAUGCACGGGAUCAUAAAUGAGAAGACGGAUGUGUUUGCAUACGGAGUAUUGCUUCUUGAACUAGUGACAGGGCGGAAAGCCGUGGACUCUUCUAGACAGAGCCUGGUGAUAUGGGCAAAACCGCUGCUCGAGUCGAACAACAUGAAGGGGCUGGUGGAUCCUUCUCUUGAUGUUGGAUAUGACCCAGAAGAGAUGGCACUCACCCUGGCAGUGGCGUCCAUGUGCAUCCACCACAGCGCAAACUUGCGGCCUAGCAUGAAAUCGGUGGUCCGUUUCAUGAAGGGAGAUAGGGAAUCACUCGAACUGAUGGGAAAGCCUAGACCCACAAAGCCCCCAAUGUUCGACUCCUGUGAUUCAGAGGACUACACUCGCACGAGUUACCUCAAUGAUCUGGACAAGCACAAGCAGCUUGCGUUGGAGCAGUGA